CCUUUGCCCAGCACACCUGUCACUCACCUCAACCCUUUCUCUCUUUUCCCCAUCUUUCUGUGGCUAGCUCCUCCUCAUUCUUUAGGUCUCAGUGUAGAUAGCACCACUAUCAGGAAGGAGUCCAGACACUGCCAGGCCUAAGAAAUGUAAAUUAAAUGCUCUCAAGGGAUGAGAGACACUGGAAGCUGGGACGCUCUUGGAACUCUGUUGCCAUCAUCAAGGCUUCCAGAUACAGCCCUCUAGGUCAUCCAGAGGUGCCAGCCAGCCCUCACCAGUGGUCAGCUUUUCCUCAGUGGAGUGGUAGGUGAGCCAGUGGAGCUUGCUCUGAAGAUACUAGAGGGAGCCAAAGCUGUCUGGCCCUUCAGUGUGACUCAGUUUCCAGACUCUUUCUCUUUAGACAUAAAUGAAGAACAAGUCAACCUUGAUGCCUUUGAGGGUUGGUUCAGCGGAUGAUGUGUUGUGGGGUUUUCCCACAGGUCAGCAGUCCAACUACCAGGGCCAGAGCCCCAUCAAAGAAUCUUCAGUGCCAGCCAGAAAGAAUGAUGAACUCCUCGUGUAAAGGGAGUUUGGGGCAACCAGUCAAACCAUGGCCUCAUGGGAAGCAGCUGACUAGGCAAUGAGAGAGGAAUACAAAAGACAAGGCACUGCGAAGCCAAGUCUGGUUGGGGAGAAGAAACCAAUAUGCCUGAAACAGGGAACCAGAAAGGACUCAGACAAAACUGCUGACAAGUAUGGGGUUUCUUGGGGUAGGUGGUGAAAAUAUUCCAAAAUAAGAUUAUAGCGAUGUUUUAAUAAUCCCCUGGAUAUAAUAAAAAAACAUCGAAUUGUACACUU
This 834-nucleotide long non-coding RNA is filed under the name Homo sapiens (human). RNAcentral's name for it is "non-protein coding LINC01704:22". The record is from RNAcentral. Lineage: Eukaryota; Metazoa; Chordata; Mammalia; Primates; Hominidae.